Molecule: non-coding RNA, 2025 nt
Organism: Callorhinchus milii (elephant shark)
Lineage: Eukaryota; Metazoa; Chordata; Chondrichthyes; Chimaeriformes; Callorhinchidae
Source: the annotation of a RefSeq genome assembly
GCAGCUCUCUGGCCCUCGGUUAUUCGGCUCAAGUCUCAGUUCUGCCAAGUGCCCAGAAACAUGAGCUCCUUGAUUUCUCUCAGUCUGCUGCUGGCUGUCUUCUCCCGUGUACAGGCCGAUGUGGUGCUGACACAGCCGCCGACUCUAACCGGGGAACCUGGCCAGGCCCUGAGACUGACCUGCAAAACCAGCGGGUUUGAUCUCAGUACCAGCUGGAUGACCUGGUUCCGACAGGUUCCGGGGAAGGGGCUGGAAUGGCUCCUUGAAUACAAGAAUCCAUCCAACAAGAAUUACGCGCCUGGGAUUGAAAACCGUGUCACUGUCAUCAAAGAGGAUUCCAAAAACAUCUUCGAUUUGAUCAUCAAAAGCCCGAGAGUGAACGACACCGCCAUCUAUUACUGUGCAAGAGGGUCACACGCUUGGCCAGCGGCUGCUGCAGGUUCUACUGAUCACAACCACAAGUCAGACAGGAUUCCCUGUGAGAGGCUUUUCCUGAGCACCACACUGAUUAAACUCCUUCAUUCCCCAUCUGUACCUACUCCUCCCAGACUUUACGCCCUGCUGGCAUCCUGUGGAGAAUCCGCUUCUGGAGGCUCAGUGACUGUCGGGUGUCUUGCCUCCAGCUACAGCCCCGAUCCGGCCAUUUUCACCUGGACAUCAGAUAAGCAGCUCAUCACUGAACAAGUCAAGACUUAUCCCUCAGUGCUCAACAGGAACGGUCUCCACACUGUGAGCAGUCAGUUAACAAUCGCUGAAUCCCAGCUGGGAAACAGCAACAUCCAUUGCAAGGUUUCACAUAAAAGCAACAGCUGGCCAGCCGUGGAAAUCCCCUUGGAAGGACCGUUGCCUCCCGUUGUUGUCGUCACACAGUCUUCCCCUGAUGACAUCGCAAUGCAAAAACCGGCCACUGUUGUCUGCUUAAUAUCUGGUUUCCGUCCGGACAAUCUCAGGGUGGAUUGGCUGAAGGAUUGGCAGCCCAUCAACUCAGGUGUUGUGACCUCUCCCUCGGUUAAAGGCAAUGGGACAUUCAGCACCAGCAGCCGUCUGACUGUCCCCGCCAGAGAGUGGAAGAGCGGCUCCGUGUACACCUGCCAAGUAACCCAUGACCCCACACACACGAUCAUUGUCAACAACAUCACCAAGUACUACCCAGGUGGUGGGUGUCUUGAACAAGUCAAGGUUUCUUUCCUGCCACCUUCACCGAAACAAGUGUUGAUGGAAUGCACUGUAACGCUGACAUGUGUAGUGACUAAUGCACCACUUGACGUCAACGUGACUUGGACAAAUGAACAGACACAUUUACAGUCUGGAUAUGGGAAACCGUCUGCCACUGAGCCUAAGGAAGUGAUCAGUAAAUUAAACAUUUCUACACAAGACUGGACCAGUGGGAAAGUAUACUUCUGCGUUGCCAGCCAUGACGACAUGCCGACUCCGAAAAGAGGAAAGAUAUCUAAGGGGCAAGUUGGGUACACGAAACAACCUUCAGUGUACCUGCUCCUCCCCUCGGCAGAAGAAUUGUCUGCUCAGCAGACUGUCACCCUCAGCUGCCUGGUGAAGGACUUCUCUCCCAAAGAGAUAUUUGUGGAGUGGACUGUGAAUGACCAUUUGAUUGAUGGCAACAAAUACAAGAACACCGAGUUGAUGGCAGAAAGUUCAGAUGGCAACACCUCCAUGUACAGCAUGUUAUCCAUCUCAGCCCGAGAGUGGGACCGCGGCUAUUCCUUCUCCUGUGUGGUCGGACAUGAAACUUUCCCACUGAAGACCCUGACCAGAGUCGUUAAUAAAUCCAGCGAUUUCCCAAAUGAGAUGACGCUGGAAGUUUUUCAAAAAGAUGAAAGUGACAACCUCUGGCCGACUGCUUCCACCUUCAUCAUACUCUUCUUCCUGUGUAUUUUGUACAGCGCCACAGUCACUCUGUUUAAGAUGAACAUCGUCUUAGUCGAAGCGUUAGAGAGCGUCACCAUCCACAGUGAUCACAAGCAAAGCUUUCUCUUAUUGGCUGCAGAAAACGUCAGUGACAUUUGA